Molecule: ribosomal RNA, 253 nt
Filed under: uncultured bacterium
Lineage: Bacteria
Description: partial 16S ribosomal RNA
Rfam family: Bacterial small subunit ribosomal RNA
Source: RNAcentral
UACAGACGGCGCAAGCGUUAUCCGGAAUGAUUGGGCGUAAAGCGUCCGCAGGUGGCUAUGUAAGUCUGCUGUUAAAGAGUGAGGCUCAACCUCAUAAGAGCAGUGGAAACUACAUGGCUAGAGUGCGUUCGGGGCAGAGGGAAUUCCUGGUGUAGCGGUGAAAUGCGUAGAGAUCAGGAAGAACACCGGUGGCGAAAGCGCUCUGCUAGGCCGCAACUGACACUCAUGGACGAAAGCUAGGGGAGCGAAUGGG